Molecule: long non-coding RNA, 1960 nt
Organism: Esox lucius (northern pike)
Lineage: Eukaryota; Metazoa; Chordata; Actinopteri; Esociformes; Esocidae
Source: Ensembl
UAUAUAUAUAUAUAUAUAUAUAUAUAUAUAUAUAUAUAUAUAAUUUAUAGAUAAAACGGGGUGACAUGGUGUGCUGUACUCCCAUUCUGAUAAAUAUGUUAAGAUACAUGUUUUAUUAUACAGGGUUAGAUUUUAUAUUUGUUUUUAACAAACGUUUGUUUGUUUGUAUUUGUUCGUACUUGUUCUUUUUGACGGGCCACGUGGACUGACUGACCUACCGACCCUUGUUAAAUAGCAUAGUGGUUAGAGAAGCGGACAUGUGAACUAUAGGUCCUGAGUUAGUAUCUCCUUGCAGGCGAAGCGAAGUACGCAUUGUGAAUUAUUCUGUAUUUUGACUAAAACUUUGCUGGCUAAAACUGAAACCUGACAUUGUAUACGGUUAUAUUGCGACUGUUUCUGGCUUGGAAGAGUUCAUCUUCAGUCUCGCUAGCAAUUGCUCAAUUCUUAUGAUUAUUCCUAAGAAGUUAGUUGAUAACAAUAAGCCUAUUACUUGCUAAUAAGCUAUUCAAACGCCCAGUGGCAAAAGCUAACAGCUCAUAGACGCUAUUUCUGGUGGAGGUAAAAUUAGUAAGAAACUUUAAUCAGUUUAACUGUAUUAAUAUCAUUCACAAAUGGCCAAUUAGCUGUUAAAACAGCCAGUGGCAAAAGAGGAUUUGUUCAUAGACACGAGGUUAUACUGACACCCACUAGAAGAUCAGCUCUGUGGUGUAGUGGUUCGUGCCAAAGCAUUUUACAUGGGCGAUCCGGGAUCAAAUCUCAAGAGGGCAAUACUUUCUAUUGCCUUCCGGCUGAACUAGGCUUGCCUGGUUUCUUGUUUUUCAAUACGUUUAAAUAAGAGUCAAGCACCAUGUCAAAUUGAGUUGUAGUGGAUUUGUGUUUACUUCAUAUUGGCAAGUAGAAACACUUUCACCUGUAUGUAAAAAACAAAACCGUUAACAUAUGGGAAGUUUCAAUACCCUUCUAAUUCGAAAGCCAUCAGGUAGUUUUAAAGUGGAACUUGAUGAUGCCUCAAACUGACUGUCAAACAGUUAUUGUUAUAUUCUUUCUGUCUUUCUGGUGGAUUAAACAAAAAAAGGUUAGGCAAUUUGGUGCUCCUUCCGUUGAACUCAAUGUCAUCUAACCCAGAUUCCUGGGAAGUUUGAAAUAGUGUUUUUCACCUCAGGGGAACUAGGUUUAGAUAAGGAUCAAUGUUCUGUUUUUGGACAUGAGAAUUUUACAUACAUGUACCUGCAGAGAAAUGGAAAAUAUUUAGUUGUGUUAUGAAGGUUCCAUUUAAAGUCAACAGACUUAUGUCCUGUUACUCUACUUAAAAUUAAAAGAAGCAUCUCAAUGCUGUUACAUAACUGUUCGAAUUAGAAUGCUCUGAAUUAAUAAUAUAAUGGCCAUAUCUCAACUAGAUUUACACUGAAUGGCCUUUCUAAAUUGCAUAUCUUUCAAUGGAGGACUUUCUUGCGGUAAAGAUAAUCAUUGACCUCUGUCAAAACAUUCUCAUCACCUUGUGCAUUUUAACCUCUUUACCAACUACUGUGCUUUGAUCAGUGUAUGGUGUGACCAUUACUUGUUAUUACAGCUCCAAACUGGCCUGGGGUCUAUUUUUGCCUUUGAAUGUCAAUGUUCAGCUGUAGUGAUAACGAUGUGCUGUACCUCUGCUUGUAGCUUGGCCCUUCUAAGAUGUACUCUUUCCUCUAUUCUUGGCAUCCAAUACACACAGUGUGGUACAUGCUCCAAGAUGGUUCUAACCAUCAGGUCUGUAACAUAGGAUGAGUUCAAUUCUUCAAUGGUUCAUCCUUACAUAAAAUACAUGUUAAGUAUUUUGAAAACCCUAAAAAGUUUUCCCCAGUACCUUCAUUCUGAAGAGGGAGUUUGAAAAGCCAAUAUAUACCAUUAAAAUACAAUUUAUUUGAAGUUUGUUAUGUAUUUUGUAUUUACUUACAGUUUUUGGUAAUAUAUUCUAUUGUGC